AUUCAUAUAAUUUAAACUAGAAUAUUGCAUUGAAGCUGCAAAUGUGACAAUAAAGUCUGUGGAUG
RNAcentral lists this transfer RNA (65 nucleotides) under Sagmariasus verreauxi (green rock lobster). Its description in RNAcentral is "tRNA-Phe". Lineage: Eukaryota; Metazoa; Arthropoda; Malacostraca; Decapoda; Palinuridae. The record is from RNAcentral.